CCCUCAGACCCUCCUGUGUCCCAGUGCUGGGGGUCCCUGGCCCCUUGGACCCCCCUGUGUCCUGGUGCAGAUCUGGUGGAUCCCUGGCCCUGGGGACUCUCCAGUGCUGGUGUUGGGAUUAAACCCACAGGAUGUGCACUUUGGGAAACAACUCCUCCCUCUGCUCCCAUUCUGUGCUUUGGAGCUCUGUGUGGUUGUUACUCCAGAGGAUUCUCACACGGUUACAGCCUUUGCAGCUGGCACUCUGUCUUCCUGUUUUAAUAAAAUAUAGAUAAGGCUGGACAGUUUUUUAAAGCUAAAUGUGACUUAUUGGAGCAGUUAUACUGGCACUUUACAUGACAGUUUUACUGCCAUCUCAGCAAGUGUCAUUUAAACAUAAUAUAAUUUCUUCUCAAGUAAUAUAGAGUGGUUACAGAUAUAUAUUAUGUAAUCACAGAAAAGCAUUAAUAAAGAGGUUUUCUCCAGCCUUUUGAGGGAUUUCUUUUUCAGGCAGUGAAAUCUCAUCAGAGCUAAGCUAAUCAAUGUCAGCUAUAAUGUGGAAAAUAUUUUUAAUCAGUUGCUUUGAUGCCAGGAAAUGUAGGAUGAUUUUUCUUUUUUACCCUGAAGAAAGAUUAGUUAGCAAAGCAGUUAGUCAGAGGUAUGGAGCUCUUGUAUGAAUAUUGGUGUUUUGGCUAACAUCUUAUGAACCUGGAUGUGUAUAGAUGUCUUUUAGAGCCUUUUUUGAUAUAUUUCUCAUUGUUCUCCAACAUCCAACAGACACUUGCCUGUGGAGUCUGCCUUGCCUGGUGUGCUCUCUUGGAACCCCCCACCAUCUCAGCAGGCCCUGGAGGAGGUGGAUUCCCCCGUGUGCUGCUGAGUUGUCCCCUUCCAUGAGCUUUAUUGAUGAGUUUAAGCCACAUCAUCCUCUGACCUAAACCAGGACUGACUAAAGAGCAGCGGCCCUUUGAGUGAAACCCAGUGUUUUGCGAUGUUUCAUCAUAUUGGUCCCAGCAGGAGUGAAACCAGAAGUCAGAUGAUCUCCUCUCAAACUAACCUGAACUAGAAACCAGUAGAUGUUAAUUACUCGCUUGCCAGUGGUCUUGUCCUUCCUCCUGCAGUGUUGCUCUGGAGAGCUGCUCUUCUUGCUGUGUGCUGAUCCGUGUGGGACAGGGGGUUCCAGAUGCCUUCCAGUGUGUGAACGUGUCCAAUGGGCUUCUGAGUGGCUGCUGUAGGUUAAUUCAAGCCAGCUGAAUUCUGUUAAUUGUAUUUUUCUGUCUGAGUAGUUUUACUUAACAUGAGAAGCUAAAGUUACUGAAGCCUUAGGCUGAAUUUAUCUUAACACUUACCUUUGGCUGAACUUAAUUUGUCUUGAGCUCUUAGUUAUGUAAGCUGGAAGUUACGAAGUCACAACCAGAUCAAAACAGCUACUGGCCCACUGGGAGAGAGAGAAAGAAUCUACUAAGGUGUGAGAAGACCCCAGACCAAAAAUCACCAUUGAACCAAGAGCUGUGUGCAGGGUGUGAGAAGCAGGUGAGGAUGGGGUGCAGGGACUGUCAGGGUAUAACAGGCCAGGGAUUCCUUUGUUUGGGGUCCCUCCUCGGAGGCACCCAUCUCCAGCUGUUCCUACCACUGUAGCACUUGAAUUGGGCUUAAAGCUUGAGACUCUGCUGCAGGAUACCUGGGGAAUACAGAGAAAGUUCUGUAACAGUGACCUCACCUGCAUCCUCACAAAGUCCAAAGUCCCUCCUGGACAGAGCCAGCAGUGCUGAAGCAGAAGGUACAGGGUGAGGUGCAGGUGUGUGGGAUGUCACGUGUCCAGCAGAGCCUCAGAUGAAACCAGAGAUAUGUCCAGAGCCAGACCUCACUGCACUGGGGCCAGGUAGGUGGGACCAAGCCUCCUCCUGACCACCCCACAGUCUCGAGCUGGCUCCCAGCAGGAUGAGGUGUCAGUCAUCUGGGGCAUUUCAGAAGAGAGAUCUGGUUCUUGAGAGCAGGUCCUGUGAAGGACAUGGCUCUCCAGGCACCCUUCAGGUCUUCCUGGUAGCAGCACACUCAGACAAGAUGCUCAGAAGGCUCCGACCUCAUCCCUGUGGGCACAUGUGAGUGUCUGGGACAGCAGUAGGGAGCUGGGCAUUGAUACAUGCCUUCAAUGAGCCCUGUCCCCAGGUCCCAGAUAAAGCAGUCAGGUUUUUAGAUCACAUGUCUUUGAACAUCCUGCUGCCCAAAGCUAGUGGAAAGCAAUCCUGUUAUCGUUUACUUUAAACAGGCAUUUUGGAGAGUGUCUAGAGCUUUAGGGAUGUCUGCUUUCAUUUGUGAAGGAAACAAUGGUGUUUGUCUCCAGAAUGCGUUUUGGCUUGUCAGUAAACAUCACAGUGGCAUCAGCCUGCUCUGGCCCCAAGUUGAGAACAGCACUGCGCAGCUUGUGACGUGAUGUUCAUGCAGCUCAUUUGGAGUAGUCUGAGAAAGUGCUAAAAUGCAGUUCAAAUGGCACCAGCAGAAACUAUUUCAAUAAAAAUUUCUAGUGUUUUUAGUCA
This is a long non-coding RNA of Pseudopipra pipra, 2513 nucleotides long. RefSeq lists it as uncharacterized. The transcript is spliced from 2 exons. Lineage: Eukaryota; Metazoa; Chordata; Aves; Passeriformes; Pipridae. The record is from RefSeq and is a predicted model, not a curated record.